ACCCUUCUGAAAAGCACUUGUUGGGUCUGUGUUCAGUGGCUCAGUGAGUUGUCGUGGAAGGGCACAGCAAAGACAUCGCUCUUGGGUGAAGUAGCAGCCUGUGCUGUUUAUUUCAAUCAGUGAUGUGACAUUG
This 133-nucleotide small nucleolar RNA is filed under the name Apteryx mantelli mantelli. RNAcentral also lists the same sequence under 1 other name. The record is from RNAcentral. Lineage: Eukaryota; Metazoa; Chordata; Aves; Apterygiformes; Apterygidae.